UACGGAGGGAGCUAGCGUUGUUCGGAAUUACUGGGCGUAAAGCGCACGUAGGCGGCUUUGUAAGUUAGAGGUGAAAGCCCGGGGCUCAACCCCGGAAUUGCCUUUAAGACUGCAUCGCUUGAAUCCAGGAGAGGUGAGUGGAAUUCCGAGUGUAGAGGUGAAAUUCGUAGAUAUUCGGAAGAACACCAGUGGCGGAAGGCGGCUCACUGGACUGGUAUUGACGCUGAGGUGCGAAAGCGUGGGGAGCAAACAGGG
RNAcentral lists this ribosomal RNA (255 nucleotides) under uncultured bacterium. RNAcentral's name for it is "partial 16S ribosomal RNA". It matches the Rfam family "Bacterial small subunit ribosomal RNA", at positions 524 to 777 of the family's 1533-position model. The record is from RNAcentral.